AGUGAACGCUGGCGGUAGGCCUAACACAUGCAAGUCGAACGGAAGCACAGUAAGAGCUUGCUCUUACGGGUGGCGAGUGGCGGACGGGUGAGGAAUACAUCGGAAUCUACUUUUUCGUGGGGGAUAACGUAGGGAAACUUACGCUAAUACCGCAUACGACCUACGGGUGAAAGCAGGGGAUCUUCGGACCUUGCGCGAUUGAAUGAGCCGAUGUCGGAUUAGCUAGUUGGCGGGGUAAAGGCCCACCAAGGCGACGAUCCGUAGCUGGUCUGAGAGGAUGAUCAGCCACACUGGAACUGAGACACGGUCCAGACUCCUACGGGAGGCAGCAGUGGGGAAUAUUGGACAAUGGGCGCAAGCCUGAUCCAGCCAUACCGCGUGAGUGAAGAAGGCCUUCGGGUUGUAAAGCCCUUUUGUUGGGAAAGAAAAGCAGCAUGUUAAUACCCCGCUGUUCUGACGGUACCCAAAGAAUAAGCACCGGCUAACUUCGUG
This 492-nucleotide ribosomal RNA is filed under the name uncultured bacterium. RNAcentral's name for it is "partial 16S ribosomal RNA". It matches the Rfam family "Bacterial small subunit ribosomal RNA", at positions 29 to 507 of the family's 1533-position model. The record is from RNAcentral.